GGUACCUACGGGACGCAGCAGUGGGGAAUAUUGCACAAUGGGGGAAACCCUGAUGCAGCGACGCCGCGUGAGUGAAGAAGGAUUUCGGUAUGUAAAGCUCUAUCAGCAGGGAAGAAAAUGACGGUACCUGAUUAAGAAGCCCCGGCUAACUACGUGCCAGCAGCCGCGGUAAUACGUAGGGGGCAAGCGUUAUCCGGAUUUACUGGGUGUAAAGGGAGCGUAUACGGCAGCACAAGUCUGGAGUGAAAUGCCGGGG
This 256-nucleotide ribosomal RNA is filed under the name uncultured bacterium. Its description in RNAcentral is "partial 16S ribosomal RNA". It matches the Rfam family "Bacterial small subunit ribosomal RNA", at positions 334 to 607 of the family's 1533-position model. The record is from RNAcentral.